This 77-nucleotide transfer RNA is filed under the name Paenibacillus psychroresistens. RNAcentral's name for it is "tRNA-Pro". It matches the Rfam family "tRNA". From Rfam's summary of the family: Transfer RNA (tRNA) molecules are approximately 80 nucleotides in length. Their secondary structure includes four short double-helical elements and three loops (D, anti-codon, and T loops). Further hydrogen bonds mediate the characteristic L-shaped molecular structure. tRNAs have two regions of fundamental functional importance: the anti-codon, which is responsible for specific mRNA codon recognition, and the 3' end, to which the tRNAs corresponding amino acid is attached (by aminoacyl-tRNA synthetases). tRNAs cope with the degeneracy of the genetic code in two manners: having more than one tRNA (with a specific anti-codon) for a particular amino acid; and 'wobble' base-pairing, i.e. permitting non-standard base-pairing at the 3rd anti-codon position. The record is from RNAcentral. Lineage: Bacteria; Bacillati; Bacillota; Bacilli; Caryophanales; Paenibacillaceae.
CGGGAUAUAGCUCAGCUUGGGAGAGCGCAUACUUUGGGCGUAUGAGGCCGCAGGUUCGAACCCUGCUGUUCCGACCA